This 481-nucleotide ribosomal RNA is filed under the name uncultured bacterium. RNAcentral's name for it is "partial 16S ribosomal RNA". It matches the Rfam family "Bacterial small subunit ribosomal RNA", at positions 28 to 507 of the family's 1533-position model. The record is from RNAcentral.
GAUGAACGCUGGCGGCGUGCUUAACACAUGCAAGUCGAACGAAGCAUUUGCGACAGAUUUUUUCGGAAUGAAGUUGCUUAUGACUGAGUGGCGGACGGGUGAGUAACGCGUGGGUAACCUGCCUUGUACUGGGGGAUAGCAGCUGGAAACGGCUGGUAAUACCGCAUAAGCGCACAAUGUUGCAUGACAUGGUGUGAAAAACUCCGGUGGUAUAAGAUGGACCCGCGUCUGAUUAGCUAGUUGGUGAGAUAACAACCCACCAAGGCGACGAUCAGUAGCCGACCUGAGAGGGGGACCGGCCACAUUGGGACUGAGACACGGCCCAGACUCCUACGGGAGGCAGCAGUGGGGAAUAUUGCACAAUGGAGGAAACUCUGAUGCAGCGACGCCGCGUGAGUGAAGAAGUAAUUCGUUAUGUAAAGCUCUAUCAGCAGGGAAGAUAGUGACGGUACCUGACUAAGAAGCUCCGGCUAAAUACGUG